Long non-coding RNA from Salvator merianae (Argentine black and white tegu), 2017 nucleotides. Lineage: Eukaryota; Metazoa; Chordata; Lepidosauria; Squamata; Teiidae. The record is from Ensembl.
UUUUUCUACUUCACGGGAACGACUCAUCAGUCUUCCGCACAAAGAAAUGCGCACUCUGACAGGUUAUGGGCCCAGAGAUAAAGAGAUAAGGCAGUCCAGAUCGACUGAUAAGAUGUUUCUGGAAGACGGACUACAGGACUUCGUUUGCCGUGAGUAGAGUGGAGAUUUUAGCCUGCUAUCUGCAGAAGAAGCUUUUCGCUGACUUCCUGAAAGUUCCCUUACUACUGACCAUGGCGUUAGUCAAUCCUGCUGCGGCCUUACCAAUUGAAAGGCUCUCCGGGACUAACUAUGCUUUUUGGAAAGUUAAGAUUGAAUCUUUCUUGAUACGCGAAAAUCUUUGGCAGUAUAUAGAGGCUCCUCCAACUCAGCCAGAUGAAGGUCAGAUAGCUGCUGACAGAAAGGCGAUGGCCACAAUUAAGCUUUCUCUGGAGAAUUCACAGCUGUGCCUAUUAAGAGGGCUGACUACAGCAAAGCAAUGCUGGGAUGCUUUGGCAGCAAUCUAUCAACGUCCAUCAACAGGAGUUUUGGUGAUGUUAUCCAGACGGCUCUACAGAGCGAGGCUGCAACGUGGAGAUUCGGUGNUUCCCCACAUCCACAAGAUGAAAGCAAUGUUCGCUGAACUUGCUGAAAGAGGUUUGGAUUUCCAAGACAACCANAAAGCAUUGAUUCUACUAUCCUCCCUAGAUGAAAGCUGGGAUUCAUUGGUGACCAGUCUUGAAGUGGUGCCAAGUAGAGAAUUUAGCUUCGAUUUUGUCAUUUCAAAGUUACUGGAUGCUCAACAGAAAAGGGAUUAUAAAGAAGAACAGCCGCGUACAACCAAGAAGGGGGAUGUUUCUGCAAUUGCUUCUACUUCAAAGACUGCUCCCAAGGUAAAGUGUUACAAAUGUCAAAAGUUUGGNCAUAUUGNNAAACAUUGUAGGAGUNNAUCNGUCNCCAANAGAAGUGCUGGCCAAGCGCAGCAANNGAACANAGUUAAUUGGAAAAGAGAUANCACUGAACAGGCUUUCCUGAUAACAACAGAAACUGAGACUAACAAGUUCAUAAUUGACUCUGGUUCCACUAGACAUAUUGUAAACAGAAAAGAACUUUUACANGACUUAAACACUUUUGAUGAAGCUGUAAAAGUUAGAAUGGCUGAUGGUAAUAUCGUACAAGUAACACAAGGAGGUAAACUUUAUCUUGAAAGUCUNAAAACAACUUUGCAAAAUGUUUUAUAUGUACCUGAAAUGAAAUAUUGUUUACUUAGCGUUUCCAAGCUAGUAAAAGAAAAUUUUGAUGUCAGAUUCAGAGAGGAUGAAUGCCUGAUAAUGAAAAAUGAUAAGGUUUGCACUAAAGCUUAUUUGAAAGAUGACAUAUACUGUCUAGAAAUGCCUGAACAAUGUGUUUGUACUGUAAAUACUAGUUUUAAUACUUGUUUACACAGUGAUAUUUGCUUCCAUAAUUGGCAUCGUAAGCUAGGCCAUNUCUCCUUCCAAACUUUGGCCAAAACAGUUAAAGCAUGUGACAUAAAGGUGCAACCUUGCAAAACAUUUCUUGAGUGCACUGUUUGCAGACAGACUAAUUUGAAAAGAUAUCCUUCCACUCGCAUCAGUGAAAGGAAAAGUUCUAGGCCUUUUGAGCUUGUACAUGCAGAUUUGCAAGGUCCAAAUGAAGUUUCCCUAGGGGGAUCUCGUUUUAUGUUAUUGCUGACAGAUGAUUUUUCAAGAUAUUCAUUUGUUUAUUUCUUGAAACACAAGUCNGAAGUUUUUGAAUAUUUUAAACAAUGGGUGAGAAUGAUUGAGAACAAACACAGCACAAAUGUUGNUGCAAUACAAACUGACAGAGGAGGUGAGUUUACGAGCAAAAAAUUCAAAAGCUGGCUUCUUAAGANAGGAAUUCAGCACAGGAUGACUAAUCCUUAUAGCCCAUUUGAAAAUGGUGUUGCUGAGAGGAGAAUUGGUUUAGUUAAAGCUAUGAGAGAAGCUAUGAUGCUUGAUGCUAACCUAUCUCCAAAGUAUUGGGCAGAAUGUUCAAGAAC